Molecule: ribosomal RNA, 370 nt
Filed under: uncultured organism
Description: bacterial SSU rRNA
Rfam family: Bacterial small subunit ribosomal RNA
Source: RNAcentral
CGAAGGGGGCUAGCGUUGUUCGGAAUUACUGGGCGUAAAGCGAGUGUAGGUGGUUGUCAUAGUCAGGUGUGAAAGCCUUGAGCUCAACUCAAGAAAUGCACUUGAUACUGGGCGACUAGAGGACCGGAGAGGAUAGUGGAAUUCCCAGUGUAGUGGUGAAAUACGUAGAGAUUGGGAAGAACACCAGUGGCGAAGGCGGCUAUCUGGACGGUUUCUGACACUAAGACUCGAAAGCGUGGGGAGCAAACAGGAUUAGAUACCCUGGUAGUCCACGCCGUAAACGAUGGGUGCUAGACGUUGGCGAGCUUGCUCGUCAGUGUCGCAGCUAACGCGUUAAGCACCCCGCCUGGGGAGUACGGCCGCAAGGUUG